AAAGAUGCUCGUUACGCGCAGCAGGACGGAAAGACCCCGGGACCUUUACUACAGCUUGGUAUUGGUGUUCGGUACGGCUUGUGUAGGAUAGGUGGGAGACUGUGAAGCAUGCACGCCAGUGUGUGUGGAGUCAACGUUGAAAUACCACUCUGGUCGUUCUGGAUAUCUAACCUCGGUCCGUGAUCCGGAUCAGGGACAGUGCCUGGUGGGUAGUUUAACUGGGGCGGUUGCCUCCUAAAAGGUAACGGAGGCGCCCAAAGGUUCCCUCAGCCUGGUUGGCAAUCAGGUUUUGAGUGUAAGUGCACAAGGGAGCUUGACUGUGAGACAGGCAUGUCGAGCAGGGACGAAAGUCGGGACUAGUGAUCCGGCGGUGGCUUGUGGAAGCGCCGUCGCUCAACGGAUAAAAGGUACCCCGGGGAUAACAGGCUGAUCUUGCCCAAGAGUCCAUAUCGACGGCAUGGUUUGGCACCUCGAUGUCGGCUCGUCGCAUCCUGGGGCUGGAGUAGGUCCCAAGGGUUGGGCUGUUCGCCCAUUAAAGCGGUACGCGAGCUGGGUUUAGAACGUCGUGAGACAGUUCGGUCCCUAUCCGCUGUGCGCGUAGGAAACUUGAGAAGAGCUGUCCCUAGUACGAGAGGACCGGGAUGGACGAACCUCUGGUGUGUCAGUUGUUCUGCCAAGAGCACGGCUGAUUAGCUACGUUCGGAAGUGAUAACCGCUGAAAGCAUCUAAGCGGGAAGCACGCUUCAAGAUGAGGUUUCCAUGGGCUUCGGCCCGAGAGGCUCCCAGCUAGACUACUGGGUUGAUAGGCCAGACGUGGAAGCACAGUAAUGUGUGUAGCUGACUGGUACUAAUAAGCCGAUAACUUGACACAACAAAG
Molecule: ribosomal RNA, 877 nt
Filed under: Salmonella enterica
Lineage: Bacteria; Pseudomonadati; Pseudomonadota; Gammaproteobacteria; Enterobacterales; Enterobacteriaceae
Description: partial 23S ribosomal RNA
Rfam family: Bacterial large subunit ribosomal RNA
Source: RNAcentral